UGAAGAUUCACAAUAAUGGAGGUACGACUUUUGAGGGGCGGCUUCCACUAUUGGUCCCCAGGGCCAAGACUUUGAAAGUUGACAUCUCUUUCAUUGCAUUUUUUUACAAAAUAUAUUGUGAUUAUAAACUUCCACAGCUCCACAUAACAAUAUACACCUGUUUUGAGCCAACGAAACAUUUGUAUUUAACAGCAAUAAAAAAGUGAGAUCUCAAAAUUUUAGAAUAUACUAUAUACUAAGAGCUUAUAGUCCUUGGAUCACAGAUUGUGUUGACUCAUUGACAAAGAUAACAUCUUUAGACAUCGACACAUCGUACGUAUCUAAAGCGUCACCCUUGAAACAUUGCAUCUCGUUGAGGCAUUUCACCGAACACUUACAGAGCGUAAUCUAGACGUCUGAAGACAUACAAAUUCCAAGCUUUGCUGAUGUGGGCGGACCUGAAACCUAUAUAGUAGUGUCCCACCAUAUGGGUUUAACUACAUCAAAGUCAAAGUCGACGACUUUAAAGCGAGCUGAGACACAAAGAGAAUAUGAUCCAACUUGGAGAUUAGCUAAGAAACGAAAGAAUGAGAAAGAAGAAUAAACACACUGGAAGAGGCAGAAGGUUAGACUAGGUUUAAAAGGAGUAGAAGACUCUAUGUGCAUCAGAGGGUUUUGUUGUUACACGUUUUCAGCACAUGUGGACGUUAGGGUUUGUUAGAUGGACUCUGUUUUUAGCCCGACAUGAUUGAAGAACAAAUCCUUAACAAAUGAGAAGAUAUGUUUAGACUCAGACUCUGACGUGAACACAUCGUUUAGAGUUUGCGCCGCAAAUAUAGGCUGCUUUGGUGUUGGAAGUUCUGUCGUUGAAGUAAUCAUGGACAGUACUUGAAGAGUGUUGGGUCUGUCCGAGGCUUCAUGUUGGACACAUAGAAGACCAAUCUGAACACAUCUCGCAACUUCGUAUAUGUUGCAUGAGUCAGUAAGAUCUUGAUCAAGAAGAUCCGCUCCUCCAGUCUCGCACCAAGACUCCCAGGCCUGAGUACAAUAAGAAUACAUUUCAUGUCUAUAUACUUAAAUGAUAAUCAAAUCAAUCACAGUAAACAUGUCACUUACGUAUGCAAGAAGGCCUUUGCUCCCAUCUCCAAAGCUGAACCUUGAAAUCUUCUUGCCGCUGAUGAUUUCUAGCAUGAGAACUCCUAGGCUGUAGAUGUCUGACUUCUCGGAGAACAACCCUGCCCAUGCAUACUCAGGAGACAUAUAUCCUCUGUGAUAACAUCAAAUAGUAUAUUGUAUAUGAUUAUGAGUAUGAAUCCUUGUUAACCAUGUUGUUGUAAAGAGAGAUUCUUACAGAGUU
Long non-coding RNA from Brassica rapa (field mustard), 1336 nucleotides. RefSeq lists it as uncharacterized. Lineage: Eukaryota; Viridiplantae; Streptophyta; Magnoliopsida; Brassicales; Brassicaceae. The record is from RefSeq and is a predicted model, not a curated record.